Molecule: ribosomal RNA, 497 nt
Filed under: uncultured bacterium
Lineage: Bacteria
Description: partial 16S ribosomal RNA
Rfam family: Bacterial small subunit ribosomal RNA
Source: RNAcentral
GAUGAACGCUGGCGGCGUGCCUAAUACAUGCAAGUCGAGCGAACAGAUGAGGAGCUUGCUCCUCUGACGUUAGCGGCGGACGGGUUAGUAACACGUGGAUAACCUACCUAUAAGACUGGGAUAACUUCGGGAAACCGGAGCUAAUACCGGAUAAUAUAUUGAACCGCAUGGUUCAAUAGUGAAAGACGGUUUUGCUGUCACUUAUAGAUGGAUCCGCGCCGCAUUAGCUAGUUGGUAAGGUAACGGCUUACCAAGGCAACGAUGCGUAGCCGACCUGAGAGGGUGAUCGGCCACACUGGAACUGAGACACGGUCCAGACUCCUACGGGAGGCAGCAGUAGGGAAUCUUCCGCAAUGGGCGAAAGCCUGACGGAGCAACGCCGCGUGAGUGAUGAGGGUCUUCGGAUCGUAAAACUCUGUUAUUAGGGAAGAACAAAUGUGUAAGUAACUAUGCACGUCUUGACGGUACCUAAUCAGAAAGCCACGGCUAACUACGUG